This is an RNA transcript of Myotis daubentonii (Daubenton's bat), 3151 nucleotides long. It is a transcript of the gene named RWD domain containing 4, with no coding region annotated. Lineage: Eukaryota; Metazoa; Chordata; Mammalia; Chiroptera; Vespertilionidae. The record is from RefSeq and is a predicted model, not a curated record.
CCACGGCCUCGGGCUCCGCGCCCUCAGCCCUUCCGCGGGCGGCUUCGCGCGGCCCGAGGGCCCGGGGUGCGCGUGACUGCGGUCUGCGGGGCGAAGGGCGUGCCUCCCGCGGCCGAGGGCGCGGAACAGGGACGCCCCGGCCUCGGGGCCGCCGCUCGCAUUUCCCUUCGUGGUCGCGAACGCCGCCCGCCCGCCCGCCGGGGAGGCGCCCGCGCCCGGCGCGAUGGGUGCCAACGAGGACCAGGAGAUGGAACUGGAAGCAUUACGUUCUAUAUAUGAAGGAGAUGAAAGUUUCCGGGAAUUAAGUCCAGUUUCAUUUCAAUAUAGGAUAGGUGAAAAUGGUGAUCCCAAAGCCUUCCUCAUAGAGGUUUCCUGGACAGAAACAUAUCCCCAGACCCCUCCAAUCAUAUCCAUGAACGCUUUCUUCAACAACACCAUAUCCUCAGCCGUGAAGGAGAGCAUAUUAGCCAAGUUACAGGAAGCGGUGGAAGCCAACCUCGGCACUGCCAUGACCUACACGCUGUUCGAGUACGCCAAGGACAACAAGGAGCAGUUCAUGGAGAAUCACCAUCCCGUGAACUCUGCGACAUCCAUAAGCAAUAUCCUCUCAGUUGAAACUCCUAAUGUAGCCCCAUCCAGUAAGAAAAAAGACAAGAAGGAACAGCUUACAAAAGCCCAGAAACGCAAGCUGGCAGAUAAAACAGAUCACAAAGGGGAGCUCCCUCGAGGCUGGAACUGGGUGGACGUGGUGAAGGUACACAAUCCUUACUUCCCGCCUCACGCCCUAUGGCAUUGCCAUCAGUACUGACGCUUUCUCUCCCGUUUUCUCCCCCCGCCUCUGGGUUUCCCUGGGACGUCUGUUUCCUCUCCUACACUCAGCAUUUAAGCAAAAGUGGCACUAAAGAUGAUGAAUAGCACUUGGAAUUGGAAACAAGGGAAGAGCAUCCUUAAAAAGUAAACUGGGUUCAAACUCGUCACUCUUUUCUGGCAUUGAGGUGGCUUUUUAUAAAACAAUUUUUUUGUAUGUUUCUUACAUAAAAAUGUUUUCAGCUGAAAGUUCAUGAAGAGAUUUGGUUGUAUUAAAUUAUUUUCACAAACUUGCCUUAAUAAAAGGUGAAAUGUUACUGUUUAAUAUACUUUGGAAGCCUUUUGAGCGUUGUCAGUGGAAUAAGGGGAAUAAUAAGGAAUCAGUGUUAACUUAUAUGAUCUUAUUCUAAUGGAUGUGAUUACUUUUUUUUUUAAAGACUUUUCCAAAACUCCUGUCCCAGGGAAUAGAGCACUGAGUGAACAAUUAUUCUGAAGCAUGAUCCAGAUUCAUAAGCUUCUCCUCUUAAUCAAGUGUUCAUCUCUUCUUUCUCCCCAUUACUGAGGCAUAACUUGCUUCAGAAAAACUUAAAUCCUGGUAUUUGAGCUUUACACAUAAUAUUCUUUGUAAUGCCUCCCAACCCCACCCCAGGGUGAACUGCUUCCCUGUAAUAAGUGAAUAUUGGUUUAUGCUUUUCUCUCAGUUUGGGUCAUGAUGUUUGAUCAUGAGAGCUUUCCAUGGUGUGUGGAAGAGGAGAAUAUAAAAACGGAUCUGUCUCAUACAUCAGACAGCAUCUGAACAGAAGUGCUGGUUCCAAUUUAAACGUUUCUCUUCAUUGCACUACCAAGACAGGAGUACAAGAUGCCUUAAUCUUUAAUUUUUGUAUUGUUGGAGCCAGUGGUCUUAAUAAAUUCCUGUUUAUCUGCUAUCGUAUAUCUUUUGUUGUUUGGUAACUGAGGUCUUGUAAAUUACUUAGCAUACAACCACGUUCCAUGUUUUGUUCCAAGUGUUCAAAUGCAUUUCUCACCCCGAGCAUCGUCGUAAUAAUAGAAGUGUUUCAAAUGCUGAACUGUAGUACAUGCUUGAUUUUUUUUUAAUCAUUAAAAGAGGAAACCGUUAGUGCAAUUUUUCCAGGGGGUUGCUGAUGCCUUUGUGCGUUUUACAGUGAUUCUGUUUCUGCUCCCAGCUUUAAAAAUACUUAGGGCUGCUGCUGCAGGGUCCCAAAAAGACGUUGCUGGUUCCUCAGCUGCACUGUGCGGUGUGGGUCUGCGUUGUUGAAGAACAGUUAUGGUUUUCAAAAGUUUCCUUAGCAUAAGAGCAGUCUGAGUUGUGUUCAUGGUUUUUACUGAGCUAACACUGGCUUCAGUUAAAUUAUGAAGUAAUUAUAAUUAUGGUGAAGAAAUUUAACCUCAUUUUUAAAAGCUGAGUAGCAUUUUAUUUCUUGAAACUAGAGGCCCAGUGCACAAUUUGCGCACAGGUGGGGUCCCUCAGGAUGGCCUGUGGGGAUUGGGCCCCAGAUUGCGCCCCCAUUCUCGCAGCCCCGCAGCCCUACCUGGCACCCCGCCCGGCUCCAUCAGCACCUGGGAGCCAGGCAGCAGCCCCGCCCCCCAUCACCGCCACUGGUUGCCAUCUGCGGGGCGAUUGGUCAGGGUCAAGCCCCUGCCACCGCUGCUGCUGGUUGACAUCUGCUGAGCAAUUGGCAGGGCAGUUGGGCCCCCGCUCACACCCGCCUUGGCCUGGCACCGCCCACUCACCUGCUCCACCAUCCCGCCCUGGUCCGGCUCUCGUUGAGGCCCAUCGGGGUUCUCAGCACCUCCACUGCCGCCCACACCGACCCCUGGUGGUCAGCCACAUCAUAGCGAGCAGUCGAACUCCCAAGGGGACAAUUUGCAUAUUGGGCUUUUAUAUAGAGGUAAUAUGAUAGAAACAUUAAAAUUCAGGGCUACUGAAAUAUGCCGACUUUGUUUUGGGGUUGUGUUCGUACUUUUUUAUUGUGUUGAUUUGUCUGUUGUUUUUAAAGAAGCUACUACAUCUGCUAGUGGAAGAAAAGCCUUUGUUUUGCUCCGAAGAGUCUGAAACUGUUCAAGCUUAUCACGGUUCAUAGAUUACAAAGAAUAACGCUAGUAAAAUGCCAAUGAACUAUUUUUACUCUUUUUAUAUGACAUGUACAGAUUCCGGGAGGCAAUGGUGGCAGUGUGCCUCUUACCUCCUUAUGUGACUCUUGAACAUUCUCUCAUCAAUAGUGCCAUCACUGUUCAACACUCCCAGUAUAUUUUCUCAAACUGUUUACUUAAAGUUGUAUGGAAUGGCAUAAUUAAUAAGCAAUAAAAUCUGGACUACACACAA